UUGGUUUUCGGCCUUGUCUCUUAUAGGAAGUGAUUUCUCCAGACUCCCUGAACCUUUUGAUGAUAUUAUGGACCGUAGAUGCCGAAAUCCCUCAAUUCCUUGCAAUUGUACGUAGAGGAACAUUGUCCUUAAACUGUUCGACUACUUUCUCACACACUUGUUCACAAAGAGGUGAACCUCGCCAGAUCUUUGCUUGUGAAUGACUGAGCAAUUGAGAGAAGCAAUCGCGGCACCCACCUGUUCCCAACGAGCCCGUUCACCUGCGGGAUGUUCCAAACACGUGUUCGAUGAGCAUUCCUCAACUUUCGCAGUCUUUUUUGCCACCUGUCCCAUCUUUUUUGGAACGAGUUGCCGCCAUAACAUAAUCAUAACAGUUUAUGAUUAUUUGCUCAAAACAAUAAGGUUUAUCGGUUUGAACAUUAAAUAUCUUGUCUUUGGAGUGUAUUCAAUGAACUAUAGGUUGAACAUGAUUUGCAAAUCAUUGUAUUCUCUUUUUAUUUAUGUUUAACACAACGUCCCAACGUCAUUGGUAUUGGGGUUGUAAAUCUUUGCAUCAGAUAUGAAGUUAAACCUUGUCUGAUAUUGCCUCUUGUAAGUGCACGCCAGCAUACAUUUUAAGGUCUUGGACUGUUCUCCUAUGUAAAAAAAAUCAAAAUCAAAAUCAAAUCACUGUACGAUUCUUUAAAUAAGAAUACAGCAGGUAGUAAAGGCAAGUUUGAGAGACUAUACACUGAAGUGGGAACUCCCUGUCUGCUGCUUCUCUUUGCCUGAGGCUGAACGCUUGAUAGACAUCAAAUGAUUUGCGACUUGCCGCACUCGUUUCGGAAUGAACUGGUUCGACAAAGAUCAACUCUGCUAAUUGCUUUGCUCUAGUUAAAAACAAAGACACGUUAGUCGCACCCCUUGUCAUGUUUCGAUUUCGCGCGUAGGUUUGUCAGCUACUUGGAGAUGUGUUGGGCUUAUUUGUGCCUACAGUUGACGCCACAUCUGGAUGUGUGUAUUAUUCCGUAGGUCAACGGUCUUCUAGCCUCCGCAUCCGCUGUGUGUGCAUGUCGGAGUCAGCGCUGCAGGUGAACGCCACAGGCUAUCCUAAUUGCAGGCUGCCGGAGGAAACAACACAAAGAGCUGUAAGAGGAAUUCAGUGUGUGUCAAAAAGCAUCUGGUAACGCUUCCUGUAAUUGCCGCUCCGAAACGCUGAAGAUCUGAGCGCAGAAAGAAAUGACGUGUUUUUCCAUCGUCCUUCUGCUUCUGCUGCUGCUGCUGCUGCUUCGCUUCCUGUUGAAACGUCGCUGGAGCUUUGGCACAGUGAGGGAAUGCUUCUGAGAAUGACAAGAAAAACCACAGUGCAAACUUUUAAGGCUGUGAUCAUUUGUUACGGGAGUCUGAUGACUUUGGCAUAUUGAAUUUCAAAUAAAAAAAAAGAAAAAAAAACCCAUAAAAAAAUGUAUAUAGUUGAUUCCAAGGGACUCUUGCCAUCAUAAAACCUUUACUAACUGAAUCAGUACAGAAACUAAAUCAUAGCAAACGUAAUUGUCAUAAAGGUGUAACAUGACUAAGUGCUGUCAAACUAAAAUAUAGAAACAAGAAAAUGCUCUCAGCCUCACUUUUGAUGACAAAUUAUGAAUAUAAUAUGAGUAUUUUUGCCAAAAAGAUGAAACACAGCAGACUUCUUUGAUGAUUAUUGUCACCUUGGGCUGUGUUGACACGUCACAUUUGAAAUCACACACUGACAUUUUGACAAUAAAGAUAUCCAGCAAAGGGACGAUGAUUUCCGCAACUUUGCCAGUCUUUAAUGUGAUCGAUUUAUGACGCCCCUUUUACUUUCUGCAGUUAUUUUUAAGUCGGUCUGCGCCCGCGUUGUCCGUGUAGCGUUCACAUUUGCGCUGAAAUAAAACAAAGUUCACGAGCUCUUCAAAUGGUUUCAUUUCAGUUGUGCAAGAAAUGAAGUACUGUACCUUUCCUGGUAUUCAGAUGCUGUAUUGACAUUACUGACAGUUGAAUAACAAAGCAGUUUUUCACAAGGUGGGAAACACAUUUCCAAUAUGUCUCUUGUAUAUGAUGCCAGAGCCAUUCAACUCUCUUUAACGCAAAUCGCUGCCGUGUGAAAGGAACCAUUGCUGAGCAUUUAGGCGACUGUGAAACUUGAUGACUUAGCUUCAUGAAUCGUGGGAGAUCUUCACCUGAUUAUAAUGAUAGACCCGUAGAGGGCACGCCACCAUUUUCCGACUAAGGACCACGAUCUCAGAUUUAAGGUUCUAAUUGGCCCACGUGAGCAUUGAAGUCCCUCAGCAGAACGAUGGAUUCCCCAGCGGGAGCGCUCUCCAGCCCCCCCUGCAAGGACUCCAAAAAGGGUGGGUACUCUGAUCUGAUGUUUGGUGCAUAGCC
Long non-coding RNA from Phyllopteryx taeniolatus (common seadragon), 2385 nucleotides. RefSeq lists it as uncharacterized. Lineage: Eukaryota; Metazoa; Chordata; Actinopteri; Syngnathiformes; Syngnathidae. The transcript has 3 exons. The record is from RefSeq and is a predicted model, not a curated record.